Molecule: long non-coding RNA, 906 nt
Organism: Daucus carota subsp. sativus
Lineage: Eukaryota; Viridiplantae; Streptophyta; Magnoliopsida; Apiales; Apiaceae
Exons: 3
Source: RefSeq, a predicted model, not a curated record
GAGCGCAAGUUCAGGAGGCGGUUUGCCCGAUGAGCCCGAGUUUAGCGGUAUGUAUCUCCACGAACUGUCAGUCUGUUCUGUUGCUCGCUGCAAUUGUAUUCCUUAUUUCGAAUUUGUUCAUCUACAACUAUCUUCUCGGAAAAUCUUCUUGUUUUCCAAAUGACUAUUCGAGAAGAAAAGUCUGAAUCUUUGAUUACACACGAAAAUGGUUUGGUCAAUUUGAUUGGAACCCGAAGUUUGGAGGAAUAAGAAGAUUAUUGCAGUUUUUUGAGAUUAUAAGAGAGAUAUCAUAUGGUCAAUUUGUUAAGGCUCGAUGGAUGGAUAAAUAACGCCCUGCAACAGCAUUCGUUCCUCGAAAAUUUUGAGUUUGAAGGACACUCAAACAGCAUAAAAAGGACCAAGCUUAAGAGAACCCCUGCAUUGUUCGAAUUUCAACACAUGAUCUGUCUAGCAGGAGAUGAUGAGGAGAAGGUAGAUACAAUUUUAUUCGGGUUGCAAAAAAUCAGCACCACAAUUUAGAAUCGAUUGGAACAGAGUCAGGACAUGAAGUAUCUCAUAGAGCUCAUAAGUUCGUUAGUCCAUCUGAAUGCAAUGAAAUAAUAGUCCAAAAUUCAGACAUAAGUCGGAACAAGAGUUAUGGAAGUCGCAUCAAAUGUAGCUGUGAACUAUCUCAACAAGAUCGAAAAAAAGAAAGUGCAGCAAUUGUGGAUAACUUGCACGGCAUAAUACACAUACAUGCGCAGAACCCAAAAAGACAGAUGCGGUGUAAGCCUCAGUUUGAUGUAAAUUACAUUCUAUUGUUUCCUUAUAGGUUCACUUUCAUAUAAAGUUGUCAAAGGUAUUAGGUAUGUAAGUUGAUGAUUGUGGAUUGUGAAACAUUGCGCUUAUUGCAAAGGGACAAAGACA